RNAcentral lists this ribosomal RNA (429 nucleotides) under Chloroflexota bacterium. RNAcentral's name for it is "Chloroflexi bacterium partial 16S ribosomal RNA". It matches the Rfam family "Bacterial small subunit ribosomal RNA", at positions 355 to 776 of the family's 1533-position model. Lineage: Bacteria; Bacillati; Chloroflexota. The record is from RNAcentral.
UGGGGAAUAUUGCACAAUGGGCGCAAGCCUGAUGCAGCCAUGCCGCGUGUAUGAAGAAGGCCUUCGGGUUGUAAAGUACUUUCAGCGGGGAGGAAGGCGAUAAGGUUAAUAACCUUGUCGAUUGACGUUACCCGCAGAAGAAGCACCGGCUAACUCCGUGCCAGCAGCCGCGGUAAUACGGAGGGUGCAAGCGUUAAUCGGAAUUACUGGGCGUAAAGCGCACGCAGGCGGUCUGUCAAGUCGGAUGUGAAAUCCCCGGGCUCAACCUGGGAACUGCAUUCGAAACUGGCAGGCUAGAGUCUUGUAGAGGGGGGUAGAAUUCCAGGUGUGGCGGUGAAAUGCGUAGAGAUCUGGAGGAAUACCGGUGGCGAAGGCGGCUCUCUGGUCUGUAACUGACGCUGAGGCUCGAAAGCGUGGGGAGCAAACAGG